CUCAUGAUGGCUGCAGACGCCAAUGUGUCGAGUCCAUUUAGCUCAUUGUCGGCAGCGAUUUGAGAGCUUUCGGCAUGUUAGCAUUAGUCUGUUUUCAAACAAACGCCUACGCUCUUCUCCAAACAACAAGAACGUAGCGCGUCGGCGUAUUGUUCUAGAACUCACCGGAUGCUCACGCAGAGACUGGGAGUGGCCUUCCAUUAGCACAAGAGGGAAUGAACAAGGCGGCUCCAGUCCCUGGUAUUGCUGAAUCCGUGGGCGACAUCAAACGACGCUAUGAAGACACGGCGCAGGUGCUGUUUUUGGAACGUCGGGAGAAACAGCGUCCUUCGAGUUUUCUCUCCUACGGGGAGACGAAGAAGUGCUACGCGUACAGUGGCUCGGGAAAACCGUACGUCGAUGUAAAAGAAGGAGUUCGUGCCGACCAGCAGUCGUUUCAGAGUCAAAUUUGCAGCAUCAUGUAGUUGGUGGUAGCCUAGCAAUGCAGUCUCCACAGUGACCAAAAAUGUAGGGGCCCGAAGGCAGCACAUGUUUCUUCUCUGAUAUGUUGAUAUUUUUUGUUCUUUUUUUGAGUGGGAGCAUGCUACUGACACAGUUCCGCCCAGUUGUGAUCCACGGCCUGCAGCGUUUUUCAGCCGGCCCAAUCUAGUCUUUCUUGUGGAACUGUUCACUCGAUGUUUUAAGUUCGCAGUCCCAUCUCUUGAGUUUACAUACAGGCAUAAAAUCGAUGCAACUGUGUGUUUGGUGACCUGUUACACUUGAUGCGCGGACGUUUCAUUGUUACAACAUACACUUAGCUGCCAUCUGUAUCAGGCAGUGGUACUAUGUGUUAUAUUUCGUUUUCUUCAUAAAGAAACUUGUUUCCCAAACACCUUUUACAACUUUCUGCAUAUGGUGUGUUAUAUACUGUAAUGUAGUGUUAAAAAACACAGAUCGCAACUGUGUUUUUUUAAGCUUAGGGCCUCAGUUUGGGCCCUUUAAAUAGAGCAGUUAUAGUAUUCCUUUUUGUAUAUGUUACAGUAUUAAAAAGGAAGUGUUUGUCCCCAUUUGUUUUUUGGUGUUAAGCUUUGUAUUCACUUUAAUGUAGCCAAGGCAAAUUGAACUCCAAGAACCAAAAGUAAACAGACCACAGUUCUUUUAUAGAUGUCCAUGGGCAUGUGGCUAACUUAAGAGUUCUAGCAUAAGCAAUGUGUCCAUGUCAUGCCGUAACACUGGUGUGCUUAUGCAUGAGCACAACAUCUUCGUUGAGCCCAACGAGAUCACGUGGCAGUGCGACCUUGAUUUCAAAGCGGUGUGCUGCUUACCUCAUAGUACAAGGAAGUGAACUGUGUGCUCUUGAUUUAAUGCUGAGUGGGGCACAUGAGCUUUAUAAAGCAUAUGUGCUGCUGCUGUUAAGAUGAGAGGUGAAGUGGUUGGAACAUGCAGUAAAAUAAAUGUACAAACUCGGGUAAGGUGCUUCACACACCUUAUGCCUGUUUUCGCAACUUUAAUUCCAUGCUGCUACUUUGGUCAUUUGAAAAAAAAAAAAAAAGAAGUGUGUACAUGUUUUUUUGUUAGGCAAAGAUCAAUUUUCCCUUUUGUUCAGGGGAAGAUAGAAUCUUGAAGCAAUGAAAAAGUUAUUGGAGCACGGCAUGUUGCUUGAGCCAAGGUUUUGGCCAAGGGAUUUGGCUUCUUCAAGUCUGCAAGGUUGCAGUUUCAUAGAAAGUUCUUGGAACGCUUCGUGUCGCAAGGUUUUUUUUUUUUUUUUCAUGUCUCUUUGCGUAAGUUGAAACAGUGAGUAAUGUAGGCAGGACAAAAAUAGUGUUCAGUUUCUUAGUAAUAUUCACAAAGGGUAAUGACGCCGUAGCAAGCAUUAUUGUGAAAUGUGUUGCAUGCGCUUGAGAAAGAAAACAAACAAACAAAAAACUUACUGGGCCUAGCUGCCCCUUUCCUUGAAGGCUGCGUUUUACAAGCAGGGUACUGAGGAAAAUCACCCAAAAUGUAACUGUUGUGCUGUAUGCUGUGAAUUAUCCUAAAAUAGCGCUUAAGGUGCCAAUGAGCUAUUACGAUUGCAUUUGUCUUUGCCUCUAAGUGUUUUCAAAGUUCUUUCAGCAGAAUGAUCCUUCAGUUGUCGCGACUAUGAUACACAGAAAAAAGGCUGUUGAGCUGUAGUUAUAUGUACAAAAUUUAAGUUUUGGGGCUCUGUGUGCCAAAAUCACAAUGUGGUUAUGAGGCGCAUCGUGGUGGGUUCGGCUACUCGGGGUUUCUUAACAUGCACAGGUUUUCUUCCACUUUGCCCCCCGUUCGAAUCUGGUUGAUGUGGGCAGGAAUCAAACUCCUUGCACGAGAUUAGAUGUGCAACACCUUACCUGCUAAGCUGCCACGGUGUAUGUGGGUGAAGUAAUUUGGAGGAACAAGGCAAAGCAGUAGUGUAAAAGAACUGCUUACAUUUUUCAACGAUCAUUUGCUGGAGCCCAUUCUGUGGGCCAAUUGUGAGAAGUAGUAUAUUGUGUUGCUGUAUGGAAGAUCGGCCAAGUUAUCCUUCCAAGUACUAGAUGGCUGCCUGCCGUCUCCCUUCCCAUUACCCCCGACUCGUUAAGGACCCCUUGGAAGCCCCAUUGAAAAUUUAGGCAAUGUGCUUGAAGUUUUGUUAAGAGCCAUCAAAGAAGUGCUCUACUGCAGCAAUUUUUUAAAAUUUUUUAGUAGUAGCUGAGGUGUACGCAUGUAGAUAUAACACACGGUGGCGUGAGACGAGCUACCUUCUCCUCGCCACUUGGGGGCUCUUUCGAAUAGUUUCCACAAGUAACAUUUGUUUAUCUCGUCACGUGACUCCCAACACACAACUUCCCCGUCUAUCCUUGCACUCUUUUCUCUUCAAUAUGGUGCAUUUCAGGAAAAUUCAGCAUAAUAUGAACUCACCAGAGUCCUAGAUGUCUUUCUGCUAUUCUUAGUGCUUGUAUGGCUGCAUGGUGCUGUAUAGUGCACAAGGACCGUGCCCAUGUCAGCUUGCUCAUAGCCACCAUUUUCUCUUCGUGGGGGGAAAUGUGUGCGGGCUUUUGUCAAAGUUUUCUGUUAUUUUUGCAGUGUAUAUUGGUGAAUACCUUGUAGGUGCAUGUUUAUGUGCCUUGAUUGUUUGCUUGCACUGCCGAAACCUGGUGAAGGGCCCUUUAGGGGAUGGUUUGCCUUGUUGAACUUUACUAUUACUGUUGCUAUUGAAAUACACCUAUACUGCAAAUACGCAAUAUGGUGAAUUUAAUCACAAUGCAAACCUGUUUUCUUGUCAAACUUAUCUGAACAUUUUCUGAAUCCACUCUUGACAAAAUUUUCAAGACAUCCAAAAGGAGCAUUAGAUGCUAGAUACUAGUUGCAAGUUGAUAGACAAAUAAAAAAAGACUUGUGGUUGUGAGUAUGAAACUUUAGCAUUUUUGCGUGAUUGUGAAUGAGUCGCUCUAUAAAAAAAAGUGCUAAUGAAGUCUU
Long non-coding RNA from Rhipicephalus microplus (southern cattle tick), 3456 nucleotides. RefSeq lists it as uncharacterized. The record is from RefSeq and is a predicted model, not a curated record. NCBI's taxonomy places the organism in Eukaryota, Metazoa, Arthropoda, Arachnida, Ixodida, Ixodidae.